GCCACUCCCGCGGCAUAUGGAGGUUCCCAGGCUAGGGGUCGAAUCCGAGCUGUAGCCGCUGGCCUACACCACAGCCACAGCAACUUGGGAUCCGAGCCGCAUCUGCCACCUACACUACAGCUCACAGCAACGCCAGAUCCCCAACCCAUUGAGCAAGGCCAGGGAUCGAACCCACAACCUUGUGGUUCCUAGUCAGAUUCGUUAACCAUUGCGCCACGACGGGAACUCCGAAAUAAUGUUAAAAAAAAAAAAAAAAAAAAAAGCAUUUCAACUAUCAAAGUUCAAAUCAGGAGCUCAAAUCAAAUUUCAUUUCGGUCCGGUCUGAAAACAUUUUGGUGUUACGGUGCUGUGGUUUUAGAAAAAAGUGCUCAUGACCGGUUCUGGUUUACACAGGUCGAGUAGGUUAAAACUGAAAUAUUUCUCCAUUCGUUUGUGGUUAACUGAUUCAUUCAUUGUUUCAGAAAUUGAAGGUGGUCAGCUAGCCUCUGGUUUGGGUUCCUGGUUCAAUUCAGUUCAAGAUCCUGGCAAGUGCAUACUCAGAAAAAAAAAAAAAAAUGUACAAUUCCUAAAUUACCAUGUGCUACAUAUCCUGGCUUCCUCAAAAACUACAAACCGGAGUUCCGUCGUGGCGCAGUGGUUACCGAAUUCGACUAGGAACCAUGAGGUUGCAGAUUCGAUCCCUGCCCUUGCUCAAGUGGGUUAAGGAUCCGGCUUUGCCGUGAGCUGUGGUGUAGGUUGCAGACGCGGCUCAGAUCCUGCGUUGCUGUGGCUCUGGCGUAGGCUGGUGGCUACGGCUCUGAUUAGACCCCUAGCCUGGGAACCUCCAUAUGCUGUGGGAGCGGCCCAAGAAAUAGCAAAAAAAGACCAAAAAAAAAAAAAAAAACACAAACCUCUCUUACUCUAGUAGGAUAACAGAGAAACGUCCCAGCCAGAGGCGGACCUGUAUGACGCAAAGCAGAGCAGAGGGCAGGCAACACCUAGAUAGCAGAACAGAGAGAACCCUGUGGCUCUGCUUCCAGCAGAGGACAACCGAACGAACACGUGUCCUUUCUUGGGCAUCAGAAACCUCUGUAUUGGCAGCUCUCAACCGUGAUGUCUGGAUACAAAGGUGAACCUCUCUGAGGCCACAUGUAUCAAGCAGUCAUCCACAAAGAACUGAUUUUGUUCAUGUUGAGUAUGUCAAGAAAUACACACGCUCAUUAUAGACACACAUAUAAGGAUUGUAUACAUAUGGCCGCAUCGAUGAGUUAUACUGUCACCUGCAUUCUGAUGGGGGUUCUUGUCUAGGCGCAACAUGCAUGGGGCUACAGGGCCAUACAUGUGGGCACGUGACAGCAGAGAGUUUGUUUGACCUUCCCUUAUGCAUGGUCAUACCAUAACACGAACUUGGAAAUGAAGACGUGAAAUUUGGACAAGGCGAAGGGCUGAGGCGGGUCCCCUGGCCCCCUAGGUUUGUAUACCUGAGGCGUGGGCACGGCCCUGACAACAGCUGAGUCCCUAACCAAUUUUUUCUUUUUUUCUUUUCUAACUCAUUAGAGUCGAGUUACUUACUUGUAUUAGUUUCAGGUGAAUCAGCAAAGUGACUCGGUCGUGCAUAUAAAUAGAUCCAUUCUUUUGUCCCAUAGAGGUUAUUACAAACUAUUGAGUAGCGUUCCCUGUGUUCUGCAGUAGGGUCUUGUAUUUUAUACAAUUGUGUGUCUAUUUUAUCCCCACCGACCCAAUUCCUCCCUUCCUCCAACGUUUUCUGCUAUGGUCACCAUAAGAUUGGUCUUGAAAUCUAUGUGUCUGGUUUUUUUUUAUUUUUAUUUUAUUUUUUUGUCUUUUUGCCUUUUCUAGGGCUGCACCCCCGGCAUAUGGAGGUUCCCAGAAAAGGAAAAAAAAGACAAAAAAAAAAAAAAAGAUCCAGCCAGUGUAGCCACACUGUGGCUCUGGCUUGGAUUUGAUCCCUGGCCCAGGAACCCCAUAUACUGCGGGGCGGCCAAAAAUAUGUAUGUCUGUCUGUGAGUGCCUGUGCGUGCGCAUGCGCGCACGUAUUGUUGAAUCUUGGCUCGUUUUAAUUCUCCAGGCCCAAUUAUGGACAUUAUCAUGCUUGAGCCUCACAGCAAUUAUCAAAAGCAGCAGCCCUGGACCUAUGGAAGACCUAGCCUCUGAAGCAGGAAGCUUAAGUUUGAGCCCAAGGUCUCACCUUACUUGCUGCCUGAAAAAUAGUUCCAGUCAGAACCCAAUAUCCACGGGGUUCCACACCCACAUAUUCAACUGAUCUCGAAUAGAAAAUAUUCAGAAAAAUAAAUGCCAGAAAGCUGGAGUUCCCAUCCUGGCUCAGCUGUAGCUAACGCAACUUAGUAUCCAUGAGUACGCGGCUUCCAUCCCCAGCCUCGCUCAGUGGGUUAAGGAUCCGGCGUGGAGAUGAGCUGUAGUGUAGGUCACAGACGUGGCUCAGAUCUGGCGUUGCUAUGGCUGUGAUGUUGGCCGCUCGGAUUCAACCCUUAGCCCGGGAACCUCCAUAUGCCCGGUGCAGCCCUAAAAAGCAAAAUAAAUAAAUACAUAAAUAAAUAGGAAUAUGUUUGCAGAAAGAGCCAGUAAAACGUUUCAAAGAAGAGUAAUAAUAAGAAACUCUAGAGGUGAUACAUUACUCACCUUAAUGGUCCCAAUUUAUCCAUCCCCCCCGGUCUGCACGUUUUUUGCAAGGUGCCUCCGCCGUUCCCUCCAUCAAGAGAU
This 2718-nucleotide long non-coding RNA is filed under the name Sus scrofa (pig). RNAcentral describes it as "lncRNA (ENSSSCG00050051941.1)". Lineage: Eukaryota; Metazoa; Chordata; Mammalia; Artiodactyla; Suidae. The record is from RNAcentral.